This 546-nucleotide ribosomal RNA is filed under the name Triticum aestivum (bread wheat). RNAcentral describes it as "partial small subunit ribosomal RNA". Lineage: Eukaryota; Viridiplantae; Streptophyta; Magnoliopsida; Poales; Poaceae. The record is from RNAcentral.
AUGCAAAGUAAGCAUGUGAGUGUUAAUUACCUGUUGCUUACCCGAAUUCGGAGCUCUCCAGGAGCGUUCGCAGAUCUUCCUCGCAGCGUGUCCGAUGCUGCCGCGUUCUACCGGGCCGAGGAGGGGAGCUCAAUGGAGAAGGUCUUCUGGUCUCAGUAUGCUGAGGCCGGACCUCCGGUGCCCCUUAGCGACCAGCUGAAGCAGCUGGUCGAGCUCCACAAGGCGGCCGAACAGGCCAUGAAGGGCCUCAUAGUUCGGCUGUGGCCUAAGGAGGCCAUGCCUAGGAGCUACUUCGGCCUGGUGCGGCGGCUGGUGGAUGCGUGCUCGUGGGUUGAAGUCAUCAAGCACUCCGCCUGUAUUGAAGGUGCCCGUCGGGCCCUUGCCCGCGCAAAGGUGCACUGGGGCAAGAUGGAUGCCCAGAAGCUCGUGACGGACCCGCCACCAGAGGGCAAGGAGCAUCGCACGCCCGAGAUGUAUUAUAAGAGUGUGCUGAAGGGCGCCCGCACUAUUGCGGGUGAGUGCUCCAAAGAUGUAAUUUUUGAGUAG